Molecule: ribosomal RNA, 578 nt
Filed under: Trichoderma asperellum
Lineage: Eukaryota; Fungi; Ascomycota; Sordariomycetes; Hypocreales; Hypocreaceae
Description: eukaryotic LSU rRNA
Rfam family: 5.8S ribosomal RNA (bases 210-363)
Source: RNAcentral
UUUUUUUUUCGAACUGGCGGGAGCGUUACCGAGUCAACUCCCAAACCCAAUGUGAACGUUACCAAACUGUUGCCUCGGCGGGGUCACGCCCCGGGUGCGUCGCAGCCCCGGAACCAGGCGCCCGCCGGAGGAACCAACCAAACUCUUUCUGUAGUCCCCUCGCGGACGUAUUUCUUUACAGCUCUGAGCAAAAAUUCAAAAUGAAUCAAAACUUUCAACAACGGAUCUCUUGGUUCUGGCAUCGAUGAAGAACGCAGCGAAAUGCGAUAAGUAAUGUGAAUUGCAGAAUUCAGUGAAUCAUCGAAUCUUUGAACGCACAUUGCGCCCGCCAGUAUUCUGGCGGGCAUGCCUGUCCGAGCGUCAUUUCAACCCUCGAACCCCUCCGGGGGAUCGGCGUUGGGGAUCGGGACCCCUCACACGGGUGCCGGCCCCUAAAUACAGUGGCGGUCUCGCCGCAGCCUCUCCUGCGCAGUAGUUUGCACAACUCGCACCGGGAGCGCGGCGCGUCCACGUCCGUAAAACACCCAACUUUCUGAAAUGUUGACCUCGGAUCAGGUAGGAAUACCCGCUGAACUAAG